GAGUUUGAUCGUGGCUCAGAACGAACGCUGGCGGCAUGCCUAACACAUGCAAGUCGAACGAGAUCUUCGGAUCUAGUGGCGCACGGGUGCGUAACGCGUGGGAAUCUGCCCUUGGGUGCGGAAUAACUUCUCGAAAGGGAUGCUAAUACCGCAUAAUGUCGUAAGACCAAAGAUUUAUCGCCCAAGGAUGAGCCCGCGUAAGAUUAGCUAGUUGGUGGGGUAAAAGCCUACCAAGGCGACGAUCUUUAGCUGGUCUGAGAGGAUGAUCAGCCACACUGGGACUGAGACACGGCCCAGACUCCUACGGGAGGCAGCAGUGGGGAAUAUUGGACAAUGGGCGAAAGCCUGAUCCAGCAAUGCCGCGUGAGUGAUGAAGGCCCUAGGGUUGUAAAGCUCUUUUACCCGGAUGAUAAUGACAGUACCGGGAGAAUAAGCUCCGGCUAACUCCGUGCCAGCCGCCGCA
This 463-nucleotide ribosomal RNA is filed under the name uncultured microorganism. RNAcentral describes it as "bacterial SSU rRNA". It matches the Rfam family "Bacterial small subunit ribosomal RNA", at positions 9 to 519 of the family's 1533-position model. The record is from RNAcentral.